Molecule: long non-coding RNA, 304 nt
Filed under: Apteryx owenii (little spotted kiwi)
Lineage: Eukaryota; Metazoa; Chordata; Aves; Apterygiformes; Apterygidae
Description: lncRNA (ENSAOWG00000007970.1)
Source: RNAcentral
CUUGCAUUUAACCUGAUUUUUAUUGUUUGUGUCUAUUCUAGGUUUUUGGAUGUUGCUGACUAACCAUUGAAAAUUCUAUCUCAUCUAGUUCCCAGGCCCUGAGGAUGGUACUUAAUGCAGAUGAAGGACAUGCUAGCAGAACAGCUGCAGAAGUUUUGGAUAACUUUGAAAAUUCUUGUACCUACAGGCAGCAUCAUGGAUUUUGUUCAGAUUUAUGGGAGACUGCCUAGACUAAACAGCUCAUAUUGCAAGCAGGAAAAGUCACUCUGCUCAAUUCAUUUUGAAUUAGAUCCAUCUCUUACUG